Corapipo altera (White-ruffed manakin) is the source of this 666-nucleotide long non-coding RNA. RefSeq lists it as uncharacterized. NCBI's taxonomy places the organism in Eukaryota, Metazoa, Chordata, Aves, Passeriformes, Pipridae. The transcript is spliced from 3 exons. The record is from RefSeq and is a predicted model, not a curated record.
ACUCCUUACUCCUAUUCGUUUCCCUGGUUGUCUGUCUCAUGCUCCACCCCAUUUGCUGGCUCUUUCUACACCAGAUCUUAUAUAAACCCUCCCACACCCUCAAUAAACAGCCAUUGCACCCGAUCUUCAAUCUCGAUUCGGGCUCUUUGUGCAGUGUCACAGUCCCACUCCCCUCUCCCCCCGACCGUGGCACAAUUCUAAUAGAAUGCUUUUCUCUCAUGUUAAGGUGCUCUGAGUGGAAGCACUGUCCACUGUUCUCAAGUGGUUUAUGAAAGAGAGUACCUUAAAGGAUGAGCAGGUGCAAGCAUGAUGGGAGGUUUCAGGCUGGUCAUUUGCAGAAUUCCUAUUCUUUUUAGUCUUUCUAAUGCCAGAGUGCAGCUUAGUUGGAUGUACAGUGACCCCACAGAGUCUGAUUCACCUGCUCAUAUGCUGCUCUCUCAAUGGUUUGCAUGGGUAUUUGUUGGAGGUGCCCUGAUGGAGACCUAUGAGUGGUAGAGAGAAGUUAGUAAAAAGAAACCAGAAGAAGAGGAAGAAAAAAUAUUGGAAUGUACUUACACCGUGGUGCGCUGAAUAUGACUGUUGGGACCACGAGAGUGUUUGUUUCACUGUGCCUUUACUCCGUUGUGCAAUUGUUUUAUUAUUAGUAUAUUUUAUUAUAAAAAUGCG